This 456-nucleotide ribosomal RNA is filed under the name uncultured Streptococcus sp. RNAcentral's name for it is "bacterial SSU rRNA". It matches the Rfam family "Bacterial small subunit ribosomal RNA", at positions 924 to 1382 of the family's 1533-position model. The record is from RNAcentral. Lineage: Bacteria; Bacillati; Bacillota; Bacilli; Lactobacillales; Streptococcaceae.
CACAAGCGGUGGAGCAUGUGGUUAAUUCGAAGCAACGCGUAAGAACCUUACCAGGUCUUGACAUCCCGAUGCUAUUUCUAGAGAUAGAAAGUUACUUCGGUACAUCGGUGACAGGUGGUGCAUGGUUGUCGUCAGCUCGUGUCGUGAGAUGUUGGGUUAAGUCCCGCAACGAGCGCAACCCUAUUGUUAGUUGCCAUCAUUCAGUUGGGCACUCUAGCGAGACUGCCGGUAAUAAACCGGAGGAAGGUGGGGAUGACGUCAAAUCAUCAUGCCCCUUAUGACCUGGGCUACACACGUGCUACAAUGGUUGGUACAACGAGUUGCGAGUCGGUGACGGCGAGCUAAUCUCUUAAAGCCAAUCUCAGUUCGGAUUGUAGGCUGCAACUCGCCUACAUGAAGUCGGAAUCGCUAGUAAUCGCGGAUCAGCACGCCGCGGUGAAUACGUUCCCGGGCCUU